RNAcentral lists this non-coding RNA (110 nucleotides) under chicken gut metagenome. Its description in RNAcentral is "THF riboswitch". It matches the Rfam family "THF (Tetrahydrofolate) riboswitch aptamer". Rfam says of the family: THF riboswitch presents a pseudoknot that joins P1-P2 and the loop of P3 and two THF binding. RNAcentral also lists the same sequence under 1 other name. The record is from RNAcentral.
GCAGAGUAGGCGUAUGCGCGUUAAGUGCCGGCUGAACAGGGAGUUGUCAGCCAGACGAAAAGAAACGGCCGGAGGCGGUUUCUUGCGGUGCGUAUGCCGCAUCCCGCUGC